RNAcentral lists this long non-coding RNA (220 nucleotides) under Lathyrus oleraceus (garden pea). RNAcentral's name for it is "Pisum sativum (pea) long non-coding RNA (PSAT_LNC005373)". Lineage: Eukaryota; Viridiplantae; Streptophyta; Magnoliopsida; Fabales; Fabaceae. The record is from RNAcentral.
AAAGAUUCCUCAUCUUGAUUGCCAACUUAUUGUCUCCUAUGUCAGUUUCCUUUAAGUCUGUAUAAAAGUGAGUGUGUGGUGGAUUCAAUAAUAUAAGAGUAUUCAAAAAAUAUAUGUUUUCUUACUCUAAAUUCUGCAACAAUAUAAUUUAUCAUAUACCACCUCUAGAAGACCACCAAUAAUGUGGUAUAAGAGCUGCAGAUCCUUGCAGCUGCAGUAG